AUACGGAGGGUGCGAGCGUUGUUCGGAAUUAUUGGGCGUAAAGCGCGUGUAGGCGGUUUGUUAAGUCUGAUGUGAAAGCCCCGGGCUCAACCUGGGAAGUGCAUUGGAUACUGGCAGACUUGAGUACGGGAGAGGGUAGUGGAAUUCCCAGUGUAGGAGUGAAAUCCGUAGAUAUUGGGAGGAACACCGGUGGCGAAGGCGGCUGCCUGGACCGAUACUGACGCUGAGACGCGAAAGCGUGGGGAGC
RNAcentral lists this ribosomal RNA (247 nucleotides) under uncultured bacterium. RNAcentral's name for it is "partial 16S ribosomal RNA". It matches the Rfam family "Bacterial small subunit ribosomal RNA", at positions 523 to 769 of the family's 1533-position model. The record is from RNAcentral.